RNAcentral lists this ribosomal RNA (408 nucleotides) under uncultured bacterium. RNAcentral describes it as "partial 16S ribosomal RNA". It matches the Rfam family "Bacterial small subunit ribosomal RNA", at positions 28 to 526 of the family's 1533-position model. The record is from RNAcentral.
GACGAACGCUGGCGGCGUGCUUAACACAUGCAAGUCGAACGAAGUGGCGAACGGGUGAGUAACGCGUAAUAAACCUGCCCUUCAGAGGGGGACAACAGUUGGAAACGACUGCUAAUACCGCAAACUGAAGGAGGGGAUUGCGUCUGAAUAGGUAGUCGGAGGGGUAACGGCCCACCAAGGCGAUGAUCAGUAGCCUGGCUGAGAGGAUGAACGGCCACAUUGGGACUGAGACACGGCCCAGACUCCUACGGGAGGCAGCAGUGGGGAAUCAUCCGCAAUGGACGAAAGUCGUACGGAGCAACGCCGCGGGAGUGAUGACGGCCUUCGGGUUGUAAAGCUCUGUUAAUCGGGACGCGGUACCGGAAUAGAAAGCCACGGCUAACUACGUGCCAGCAGCCGCGGUAAUUC